Molecule: ribosomal RNA, 459 nt
Filed under: uncultured Sphingobacteriales bacterium
Lineage: Bacteria; Pseudomonadati; Bacteroidota; Sphingobacteriia; Sphingobacteriales
Description: bacterial SSU rRNA
Rfam family: Bacterial small subunit ribosomal RNA
Source: RNAcentral
CACAAGCGGAGGAACAUGUGGUUUAAUUCGAUUGAUACGCGAGGAACCUUACCUGGGCUUAAAUGUAGAGUGCAUUGAGAGGAAACUUUCAUUUUCUUCGGAACUCUUUACAAGGUGCUGCAUGGUUGUCGUCAGCUCGUGCCGUGAGGUGUCGGGUUAAGUCCCAUAACGAGCGCAACCCUUAUCGUUAGUUGCCAGCGGGUAAUGCCGGGAACUCUAGCGAAACUGCCGGUGUAAACCGAGAGGAAGGUGGGGAUGACGUCAAAUCAGCACGGCCCUUAUGUCCAGGGCUACACACGUGUUACAAUGGCCGGUACAGAGGGCAGCUACCUGGAGACAGGAUGCGAAUCUCGAAAGCCGGUCUCAGUUCGGAUCGGAGUCUGCAACCCGACUCCGUGAAGCUGGAUUCGCUAGUAAUCGCGCAUCAGCCAUGGCGCGGUGAAUACGUUCCCGGGCCUU